Long non-coding RNA from Ficedula albicollis (Collared flycatcher), 786 nucleotides. RefSeq lists it as uncharacterized. NCBI's taxonomy places the organism in Eukaryota, Metazoa, Chordata, Aves, Passeriformes, Muscicapidae. The transcript has 4 exons. The record is from RefSeq and is a predicted model, not a curated record.
GAGAAGGAGGAGUUGUGAGCAGGGAACAAGGAAUGCUCUGCCACCACAGAACACUCUGUUCACUUGAGGUUUGUUCGUUUUUUCACUCCAUUAUUUCUUUUUCCACGUAGGGUUUGGUGGUCCCUGGGGAGAUGUUGGCACAGCUGUUCUGGGAGAAGCAUUCCUGGUAUCCAGGCUGCUGCCCCAGCUCUGCAGCCAGGGAAAAGGGCAGGGAGAAAAAACCCUCUCUGCAGUUGGGAGAGCCACAGGUGGCUGAUUCCCUGUGGAGCUGAGAAGGCAGCAAAGGGCGGCAGAGCAUCGUUUCCAUCAAGGGGACCGUGCCUGAUCCUGAGGAAGGAGACACACUUUUUUUGGGAUGUCAGCACACCCAACCUGCUGGGAAAUGCCUGCUGCUAUCCUUGGAAGCUCAGCUCCAGACUGCACCUCAGCCCCAGGGUCCUAAGACAAGCCUAGGAAGAGGGGAAGAUCCAGCUCAAGUGAUCUUCACUGGUCCUGUCCGGGAAACUGAGGGAUGGAGAUCCAACUGCUGCAGUGAGACCCCCGGCCCCCAAAUCUGCUCAGCCUCCCCAUGCACCCCUUGAGACCAGAUGUUCCCUCUCAGACCACAUCCCCUAGGAUGAAGAAUGAUGUGCUUUUUACAGAAGAACUCAGCUUUUCCUCCCAGUGGUCUGCACUGACAGCGAGCUGCAGCUUGGGACCAAACCCUGCCACCGCAGGAGAUCACAAUGCCCUGCUCUUGAUGGUUUAUGUGUGAAAGGUGUGAAUAAACAAUUAGGAACUGAUGGA